RNAcentral lists this long non-coding RNA (597 nucleotides) under Zea mays. RNAcentral describes it as "long non-coding RNA (ZMAY_LNC000593)". Lineage: Eukaryota; Viridiplantae; Streptophyta; Magnoliopsida; Poales; Poaceae. The record is from RNAcentral.
AAAAAGCAAAACCUAGGUAUUCAGCCCAACAGCCGUAGCCUCCCUUGGCCCCUGCUUCCUUCCGUGGCCGCACCAGGCACAGCCGCCGCAGGCGCACAAGACGUCCGCUCCCGCCCGGCCGCCUGCUCGUCGUUACGUGCACCCGCCGCGACCGCCUCCGUAUGGCUGGCCGCCGGCUAUCCGAAUACGACUGCGCACCCGUGCCUUACGGAGUCACCGCCUCGCAGGUUCUAGCCUCGCGCGCUUGCUAGCCUGCUGGUUGGCCGUGCUUCGCCAGACGACUACUGCUUGGUGCUCAGUUUGCUGCUUACUAGCCUGCUUCGGCUGCUUGCUUGGCUUAGCUGCUUGCAAGCCUGUUGCUAGUUGCUAGACGGCCUCUUCCCUAGCCUGCUUUUGCUGCUUGCUAGUUGCUAGCCUGCUGCCCUGCUUGAUUUCAAAAAGAUUGGUUUGAGCAAUAUAAUUGGUUGGAAUACAGUUUGGUAAAUGAUAGAGCUUAUUGUUUUUGUUGUAUUAAAUUUAGCUCUUUAUUUUAGUACUAAUUUAUGCUUCCUCUUUGUUUGACAGCUUAUAUUUGGUUAAAUUGCUGAUUUGACAUAU